CAAACCACUAUAUAUAUUAAAAAGAAAUCAAUCAUUAUUAUAAUAAUACAACUUUCAACAACGGAUCUCUUUGGCUCUCGCAUCGAUGAAGAACGCAGCGAAAUGCGAUAAGUAAUGUGAAUUGCAGAAUUCAGUGAAUCAUCGAAUCUUUGAACGCACCUUGCACCCUUUGGUUUUCCAAAGGGUAUGCCUGUUUGAGUAUCAUGAAACUAUCAAGACCUUUCAUUUAUUUGAAAUCAGUCUUGGACUUGGAUGUUUAUGCCGUGCUCUAGUCCUCGGCUCAUCUGAAAUAUAUUAGCUGGAUCCAUUAUACCAACUUGGUUCUUACUCAGCGUGAUAAUUGUCAUUCGCUGAGGACACUUCGGUGGCCAGGCAUUUAGUGGCUUAUCUGCUUCUAACCGUCUCUUUACUGAGACAAAAUAUUUUUAUGAAUCUGAUCUCAAAUCAGGUAGGACUACCCGCUGAACUUAAGCAUAUCAAUAAGCGGAGGA
This 491-nucleotide ribosomal RNA is filed under the name uncultured fungus. RNAcentral describes it as "eukaryotic LSU rRNA". The stretch from base 50 to 204 matches the Rfam family "5.8S ribosomal RNA". The record is from RNAcentral. Lineage: Eukaryota; Fungi.